Non-coding RNA from Paralichthys olivaceus (Japanese flounder), 1865 nucleotides. The record is from RefSeq and is a predicted model, not a curated record. Lineage: Eukaryota; Metazoa; Chordata; Actinopteri; Pleuronectiformes; Paralichthyidae.
AGGUUGUGAUGAUCUGAUCACGUCGGUGUUUGACUUUGCUAAGAGCUUGUGUUCACUGCACCUGACGGAGGACGAGCUCGCUCUCUUCUCAGCGUUCGUUCUGCUCUCAGCAGACCGCUCCUGGCUGCAGGAGAAGCUGCAGGUGGAGAAGCUGCAGCAGAAAACUCAGCUGGCUCUGCAACACGUCCUGCAGAAGAACCACAGAGGAGACGCAGUUCUGAGCAAGCUCAGAUGUAAAGUAUCAGCGCUGCGUUCACUGUGCAGUCGACACUCGGAGAAACUGACGGCGUUCCGAACCGUUUACCCCGACGUGGUGCGGACGCACUUCCCUCCUCUUUACAAGGAGCUGUUUGGUGCCGACCUCGAAGUGACGCCGCAGGCCGACGACUGAGCGGCGAUGGCAACGCUCCACAGAGCCGACCGGCGGCGAGCUGCUGGAUUCAGACGGACGGAGGCCGGUUUGAACAGUCGUGGAGGAACGUGACGACUCUGCUGCACGUUUCCUGGACAGAUGAGGCUUUGAGAAGGAAGAGACGUGAACUCUUCGCCUCCUCCUCUCACGGCUCUGUGAUUCGGACGCAGGGAGGAGUCAGGUGGUUUCUCUUCGCCUGCAUUGAGGAUCUGAAGCAGUUUCAGAUCCGACACUGAAACCUCAGUUUUUCCGUCACCAGCUCGUCGACACCUCAGCUCUUCUUACAACCACGAUGAAUUCAUUCACACAUCCUCGAGAAAAGUCCGGUGAGCUAAGGUGGCUAGUGAGCUAACUCGUGGACAAACUACUGAAUGAACCGAGCGGACGCGUGAUCCGGGGCGACUGUUGGAAAAAUCCGUCCAUCUAACUGUUGAACCAGUUAAAAAAUCAAAUCUUCAAAGUGUCAAAUUGAAGUUCUGUGAAUUUGAAUCCUUGAUGGUCAGUUAACACAGAUUUGAUUCAUACUGUAAAUAAAGAUGGACGAUGUGACGACGCCCUGAAGUGACGAAGUUAAACAAGGUCUCGUCUCACUGACGUUUGUUCAAGGGUUCCACAGACCGACUGCAAAUCAAGUCAUCAUCACAAGAUGGCCGCUUUUGUAUCAGAGAGUUUCAGGAAGCGGAGACGUGUCGUCCGUCUGUAUCUAUUCACGUCGGCGUGUUGUUUACAGUGUGAGAGAUGGAAAGGGCAGUUCUGUAACUCUGGCUCAUCUCAGCUGAUUCUUUCAUUUGAAACCUCGGAGGUUCAGCUCGUGUAGAGGAGAGAGACUGAAAAGAUAUCACCCCGAACAGAAGAAGGUUUGAAGUCAAUGUUUUUGAAUGUUUGUUGAACUGAUGCAUCACUCAGGUUCAAACAGGUGCUUCACUAACACAGUUCGAAUGAGUCGUCACCGACGGGUCCCCCGCAAUUCAGAUGAUAUUCACAUAAAUUCACAGGUGACGGGUCCGGACAGAGCAGCAUCACAUGAAACAUCAUCACAUUUACAUACGUUUCAUUUCCUGGACGUGGAAGAAGAAGGUUCCUUCUCUCUGUGGAAAAACAGGAAACAAAAAAAAAUCAACGUCCGACCUCCUGAACGGAGAAGUUCAGUUUUACAAACAAACUCAAAACAGAGCACAGAGAAUCAUGGGAAGUGUAGUAUUUAGAGUCUUAAACGUGACAAAGACAUGAGAUCUGACUGUUGUUUUUGUUUUCAUCCUGCAGCACACACACACACACACACAGAGAGAGCACAUAGCCUGUAGCACCAUCUAGUGGUUAUUACUUAGAAGUGCAGGUUUUCUUAUUUCUCAGUUUCAGCCACUGUGAAUCUCAUGUAUUCUGAAUUCUUUUGAAUUACAGUUUAUUUUUAAACCAACCUAGUGGUUGAUUUAAAAAUAAAAAAGAGCGGAAA